Molecule: ribosomal RNA, 467 nt
Filed under: uncultured bacterium
Lineage: Bacteria
Description: bacterial SSU rRNA
Rfam family: Bacterial small subunit ribosomal RNA
Source: RNAcentral
UAAGGAAUAUUGGACAAUGGAGGCAACUCUGAUCCAGCCAUGCCGCGUGAAGGAUGAAGGCCCUAUGGGUCGUAAACUUCUUUUGUACGAGAGAAAACCUAUUUACGUGUAGAUAGUUGAUAGUAUCGUAAGAAUAAGGAUCGGCUAACUUCGUGCCAUCAGCCGCGGUAAGACGAAGGAUCCAAGCGUUAUCCGGAUUCAUUGGGUUUAAAGGGUGCGUAGGCGGAUUUGUAAGUCAGUGGUGAAAGCCGAUAGCUCAACUAUCGAACUGCCAUUGAUACUGCAGAUCUAGAAUAUAGAUGAUGUUGGCGGAAUAUGACAUGUAGCGGUGAAAUGCAUAGAUAUGUCAUAGAACACCGAUUGCGAAGGCAGCUGACAAAACUAUUAUUGACGCUGAUGCACGAAAGUGCGGGGAUCAAACAGGAUUAGAUACCCACGUAGUCCCUGAGCGGGCUGGCAAGGCGCAU